CCCGGAUCAUUGGUGUGGACAUCAAUAAAGAUAAAUUUGCAAGGGCCAAAGAGUUUGGAGCCACUGAAUGUAUUAACCCUCAGGGUUUUAGUAAACCCAUCCAGGAAGGGCUCAUUGAGACGACUGAUGGAGGAGUGGACUAUUCCUUUGAAUGUAUUGGUAAUGUGAAGAAAUUGCCACUCGUCCAUUCCAGCUGGUAACAGGUCGCACAUGGAAAGGAACUGCCUUUGGAGGAUGGAAGAGUGUAGAAAGUGUCCCAAAGUUGGUGUCUGAAUAUAUGUCCAAAAAAAUAAAAGUUGAUGAAUUUGUGACUCACAAUCUGUCUUUUGGUGAAAUUAACAAAGCCUUUCAACUGAUGCAUUCUGGAAAGAGCAUUCGAACUGUUGUAAAGAUUUAAUUCAAAAGAGAAAAAUAAUGUCCAACCUGUCGUGAUGUGAUGGGAG
This 443-nucleotide long non-coding RNA is filed under the name Homo sapiens (human). Its description in RNAcentral is "non-protein coding lnc-EYS-3:1". Lineage: Eukaryota; Metazoa; Chordata; Mammalia; Primates; Hominidae. The record is from RNAcentral.